GAUGAACGCUAGCGACAGGCCUAACACAUGCAAGGUCGAGGGGCAGCAUAAAAGGUAGCAAUACUUUGGUGGCGACCGGCGCACGGGUGAGUAACACGUAUGCAACCUACCUGUAAGAGGGGAAUAACCCGGAGAAAUUCGGACUAAUACCGCAUAAUACUGAUUAUCUGCAUGGAUUGAUCAGUUAAACAUUUAUGGCUUACAGAUGGGCAUGCGUAUGAUUAGAUAGUUGGUAGGGUAACGGCCUACCAAGUCAAUGAUCAUUAGGGGUUCUGAGAGGAAGGUCCCCCACACUGGUACUGAGACACGGACCAGACUCCUACGGGAGGCAGCAGUGAGGAAUAUUGGUCAAUGGGCGAGAGCCUGAACCAGCCAAGUCGCGUGAAGGAAGAAGGUUCUAUGGAUUGUAAACUUCUUUUGUAAGGGAAUAAAAAGAGUUACGUGUAACUUAUUGUAUGUACUUUACGAAUAAGGAUCGGCUAACUCCGUG
Molecule: ribosomal RNA, 490 nt
Filed under: uncultured bacterium
Lineage: Bacteria
Description: bacterial SSU rRNA
Rfam family: Bacterial small subunit ribosomal RNA
Source: RNAcentral